GAUCCGGCAGCAGGCAACAUGGGGGCAGAAACCGCGGGGGGAACAACGCGGGGGAAACGCGGGGGAAACGCGGGAUUACAGAAUUUAUUUAACAUAAAUUAAAAACCCUAAUCUAAACCCAAACUCCGGGAUGCAACAGUCUAGCACAUCAAAAAGAAAAACAUAAAAGAGUUGCACCUCUAUUCUCCUCACCAGAUGUCAUAUUUUGGUAUUUACAGGUAUAUCCAUGGGAAAUUCAGAGAUCACAUCCACACUGUGCAGCUGGAUUUUGCUGGAGUUGGGCAUCGAUGGUAGAAAGAGGCCCUUGGGACAAUCAUGUUUAUCCAACAAGCACCCCAUGCACUUGCUUUGACCUAUGCUCUCCUUCUGUGCAAUGACGGGCUCAGCUGGUGCCACAGACAGUGUUUCACGUGAUUGACGUAGCAGUCUUUCCUGCAGUGAGCAAUUUAAAGCAGAAAGGUCUGCAUUUUACAGUAAAUGGAAGCAAGGAACUGUGAGAAAUGUGCUGUUGAGAAGGGAAAAACAAAAAGAAAGCAAAAGGAGUAGUUAAUCAGUGUUGCACAGCAUUAUCUGGAGAAUUCCUGAAGACAGACUCACAUUUGCUGUUUUGUUUUCCAUUAUGAAAAACCACGAAGGAAAAGUUAUGUAGCGAACUGCUUUGGCUUGCCACUUGUUAAAAUUAAUGCAGAUCCUUCUGCUGUACAGGGACCACCUCUGCAAUUAAAAAAAACCCAUAAAUAUUCCUGCAGCAUACUAAGAAAUUCCCCUGAAGGGGGAGGUUCCAAGAACUUC
This is a long non-coding RNA of Vidua chalybeata, 792 nucleotides long. RefSeq lists it as uncharacterized. The transcript has 3 exons. The record is from RefSeq and is a predicted model, not a curated record. NCBI's taxonomy places the organism in Eukaryota, Metazoa, Chordata, Aves, Passeriformes, Viduidae.